RNAcentral lists this ribosomal RNA (254 nucleotides) under uncultured bacterium. RNAcentral's name for it is "partial 16S ribosomal RNA". It matches the Rfam family "Bacterial small subunit ribosomal RNA", at positions 524 to 776 of the family's 1533-position model. The record is from RNAcentral.
UACGUAGGGUGCGAGCGUUGUCCGGAAUUAUUGGGCGUAAAGAGCUCGUAGGCGGUGUGUCACGUCGGCCGUGAAAACCUGCAGCUUAACUGUGGGCGUGCGGUCGAUACGGGCAUCACUGGAGUUCGGCAGGGGAGACUGGAAUUCCUGGUGUAGCGGUGAAAUGCGCAGAUAUCAGGAGGAACACCGGUGGCGAAGGCGGUUCUCUGGGCCUGUUCUGACGCUGAGGAGCGAAAGCGUGGGGAGCGAACAGG